This 467-nucleotide ribosomal RNA is filed under the name uncultured bacterium. RNAcentral describes it as "partial 16S ribosomal RNA". It matches the Rfam family "Bacterial small subunit ribosomal RNA", at positions 28 to 507 of the family's 1533-position model. The record is from RNAcentral.
GACGAACGCUGGCGGCGUGCUUAACACAUGCAAGUCGAACGGAAAGGCCUCUUUCUGGGGGUACUCGAGUGGCGAACGGGUGAGUAACACGUGAGUAACCUGCCCUUGUCUUUGGGAUAAUUUCAGUAAACUGGGGCUAAUACCGGAUAGGAGCUCCUGUUGCAUGCUUGGGGUUGGAAUGUUUCGGGGGUUUGGGAUGGACUCGCGGCUUAUCCGCUUGUUGGUGGGGUAGUGGCUUACCAAGGCUUUGGCGGGUAGACGGUCUGGGAGAGUGACCGGCCGCCCAGGGACUUACGUGCGGCACAGGCUGCGACGGGGCGGAACAGGGGGGAAUAUUGCAGGAUGGGUGGAAGGCUAGUGCAGAAACGCCGCGGGCGGGAUGACGGUCUUCUGGUUGGAAAACAAUUUUGCACAUGACUAAGCUCUGCGUGACGGUAGUGAGUAAAGAAGCAACGGCUAACUACGUG